RNAcentral lists this ribosomal RNA (493 nucleotides) under uncultured bacterium. RNAcentral describes it as "partial 16S ribosomal RNA". It matches the Rfam family "Bacterial small subunit ribosomal RNA", at positions 30 to 523 of the family's 1533-position model. The record is from RNAcentral.
AUUGAACGCUGGCGGCAUGCUUUACACAUGCAAGUCGAACGGUAACAGGUUAAGCUGACGAGUGGCGAACGGGUGAGUAAUGCAUCGGAACGUGCCCGGUCGUGGGGGAUAACGCAGCGAAAGCUGCGCUAAUACCGCAUACGAUCUGAGGAUGAAAGCGGGGGACCGUAAGGCCUCGCGCGAUCGGAGCGGCCGAUGUCAGCUUAGGUGGUUGGUGGGGUAAAGGCUCACCAAGCCCACGAUCUGUAGCUGGUCUUAGAAGACGACCAGCCACACUGGGACUGAGACACGGCCCAGACUCCUACGGGAGGCAGCAGUGGGGAAUUUUGGACAAUGGGCGAAAGCCUGAUCCAGCAAUGCCGCGUGCAGGAAGUAGGCCUUCGGGUUGUAAACUGCUUUUGUACGGAGCGAAAAGGUCUCCUCUAAUACAGGGGGCUCAUGACGGUACCGUAAGAAUAAGCACCGGCUAACUACGUGCCAGCCGCCGCAGUAA